Molecule: ribosomal RNA, 492 nt
Filed under: uncultured bacterium
Lineage: Bacteria
Description: partial 16S ribosomal RNA
Rfam family: Bacterial small subunit ribosomal RNA
Source: RNAcentral
AGUGAACGCUGGCGGUAGGCCUAACACAUGCAAGUCGAACGGCAGCACAGUAAGAGCUUGCUCUUACGGGUGGCGAGUGGCGGACGGUUGAGGAAUACAUCGGAAUCUACUUUUUCGUGGGGGAUAACGUAGGGAAACUUACGCUAAUACCGCAUACGACCUACGUGUGAAAGCAGGGGAUCUUCGGACCUUGCGCGAUUGAAUGAGCCGAUGUCGGAUUAGCUAGUUGGCGGGGUAAAGGCCCACCAAGGCGACGAUCCGUAGCUGGUCUGAGAGGAUGAUCAGCCACAAUGGAACUGAGACACGGUCCAGACUCCUACGGGAGGCAGCAGUGGGGAAUAUUGGACAAUGGGCGCAAGCCUGAUCCAGCCAUACCGCGUGGGUGAAGAAGGCCUUCGGGUUGUAAAGCACUUUUGUUGGGAAAGAAAAGCAGCAGGUUAAUACCCCGCUGUUCUGACGGUACCCAAAGAAUAAGCACCGGCUAACUUCGUG